RNAcentral lists this long non-coding RNA (239 nucleotides) under Lathyrus oleraceus (garden pea). Its description in RNAcentral is "Pisum sativum (pea) long non-coding RNA (PSAT_LNC038402)". The record is from RNAcentral. Lineage: Eukaryota; Viridiplantae; Streptophyta; Magnoliopsida; Fabales; Fabaceae.
AAUAAAUUGGAGAUGAUUAGAGUUGGAAUAACCUUUGCAACAAUCGAUUGAAGAAGUUGGAAUAUUGGUGCAAGGAACAAAUGUUAACCUAUAUUCUUGAUUAAGUUAGAUUGUUAAAUUAUUUGAGAACUGUAAUUCCGUUUUGGAUGCGGAUGGUUGCGUUAGGUAGAUAACGUAAAUGACUAUUAUUAUUAUUCCAUGUUAUAAUAUAUUAUGAUGAAAGUUAAAUAUUGUUGUUA